UACAGAGGUCUCAAGCGUUGUUCGGAUUCAUUGGGCGUAAAGGGUGCGUAGGUGGCGCCGUAAGUCAGGUGUGAAAUUUCGGAGCUUAACUCCGAAACUGCAUUUGAUACUGCGGUGCUUGAGGACUGGAGAGGAGACUGGAAUUCACGGUGUAGCAGUGAAAUGCGUAGAUAUCAGGAGGAACACCGGUGGCGAAGGCGGAUCUCUGGGCCAUUACUGACGCUGAGGAGCGAAAGCGUGGGGAGCGAACAGG
RNAcentral lists this ribosomal RNA (253 nucleotides) under uncultured bacterium. RNAcentral's name for it is "partial 16S ribosomal RNA". It matches the Rfam family "Bacterial small subunit ribosomal RNA", at positions 524 to 776 of the family's 1533-position model. The record is from RNAcentral.